GUAGAAGUAAUACUAAAGAGAACAAAAAUAAGAACAGUAUUUGGUCAAGUGAAAUUAGUUAUGCUAUAAUAAAGUUGGAUCUGGAUGAUCACUUCUUGUGAGCAGCUGGGCACCAGUUCGAUCCUGGAACUCAGCCUGGAGGAGCUCACUCAGACAGCUUCCUUGAGGCAGUCUCGUGGCCCUGUUGGAGACAGCCUAGAACUCCCUAAACCCCAAAGCCUAAGAAGCAAUCCCUGUGGAGAGUCAGACAGAAUGAGGACCCAUAAAAGAAAGUUCUUCCCAACAAAGUCCUUUGCGCUUUCAAAUCGUUCAACGUCAGGAAUCAAUAUCAUUUUAUUGGUGGAAUUCUGCUUUGCCACUGCACCCCAAGGAUCAUGGGAUUUUUUCAUUUGACUUGCUGCUGGAAUUGUCCAUAUGUAUUGUCUCUUCCAUUAAAAUUGUGAACUCUUUCAAUGA
RNAcentral lists this long non-coding RNA (456 nucleotides) under Monodelphis domestica (gray short-tailed opossum). RNAcentral describes it as "lncRNA (ENSMODG00000043960.1)". The record is from RNAcentral. Lineage: Eukaryota; Metazoa; Chordata; Mammalia; Didelphimorphia; Didelphidae.